Molecule: transfer RNA, 93 nt
Filed under: Salmo salar (Atlantic salmon)
Lineage: Eukaryota; Metazoa; Chordata; Actinopteri; Salmoniformes; Salmonidae
Rfam family: tRNA
About the family: Transfer RNA (tRNA) molecules are approximately 80 nucleotides in length.
Source: Rfam by way of RNAcentral
UUCCCUGUGGCUCAGUUGGUAGAGCAUGGUGUUUGCAACGCCAGCAUGGUGUGUGCAACGCCAGGGUUGUGGGUUCGAAUCCCACGGGGGGAC